Molecule: long non-coding RNA, 208 nt
Filed under: Elaeis guineensis (African oil palm)
Lineage: Eukaryota; Viridiplantae; Streptophyta; Magnoliopsida; Arecales; Arecaceae
Description: long non-coding RNA (EGUI_LNC073411)
Source: RNAcentral
AGUACCAAUUUAUUUUUAUAUUUUUUAAAUUUUUGUUAUUCAUUUUUAUUGCAAGUAGAUGCUAGGAUCUAGUUAGUAGAUUUUAGUAUCCAAUUUAUUUUCGCACUUUUAAUUUUUAUUUUCCAACUUAAAUUACUUUCUCCAAAAUUUUAUUUUUUUUGUAAAAUCAAAGAUUUCAAAUCAAAAUCCUACUUUCUCUGUAGAUUAG